RNAcentral lists this ribosomal RNA (2889 nucleotides) under Acinetobacter baumannii. RNAcentral's name for it is "23S ribosomal RNA". It matches the Rfam family "Bacterial large subunit ribosomal RNA". The record is from RNAcentral. Lineage: Bacteria; Pseudomonadati; Pseudomonadota; Gammaproteobacteria; Moraxellales; Moraxellaceae.
AGUCAAGUAAUUAAGUGCAUGUGGUGGAUGCCUUGGCAGUCAGAGGCGAUGAAAGACGUGAUAGCCUGCGAAAAGCUCCGGGGAGGCGGCAAAUAUCCUUUGAUCCGGAGAUGUCUGAAUGGGGGAACCCACCUACUUUAAGGUAGGUAUUGCAACAUGAAUACAUAGUGUUGCAAGGCGAACGAGGGGAAGUGAAACAUCUCAGUACCCUUAGGAAAAGAAAUCAAUUGAGAUUCCCUCAGUAGCGGCGAGCGAACGGGGAUCAGCCCAUUAAGUUAUGUGUGUUUUAGUGGAACGCUCUGGGAAGUGCGAACGUAGAGGGUGAUAUUCCCGUACACGAAAGGGCACACAUAAUGAUGACGAGUAGGGCGAGGCACGUGAAACCUUGUCUGAAUAUGGGGGGACCAUCCUCCAAGGCUAAAUACUCCUGACUGACCGAUAGUGAACCAGUACCGUGAGGGAAAGGCGAAAAGAACCCCUGUGAGGGGAGUGAAAUAGAUCCUGAAACCGCAUGCAUACAAGCAGUGGGAGCACCUUCGUGGUGUGACUGCGUACCUUUUGUAUAAUGGGUCAGCGACUUAUAUUCAGUAGCGAGGUUAACCGUAUAGGGGAGCCGUAGAGAAAUCGAGUCUUAAUAGGGCGUUUAGUUGCUGGGUAUAGACCCGAAACCAGGCGAUCUAUCCAUGAGCAGGUUGAAGGUUGGGUAACACUAACUGGAGGACCGAACCCACUGUCGUUGAAAAGCCAGGGGAUGACUUGUGGAUAGGGGUGAAAGGCUAAUCAAGCCUGGUGAUAGCUGGUUCUCCCCGAAAGCUAUUUAGGUAGCGCCUCGGACGAAUACCAUAGGGGGUAGAGCACUGUUUCGGCUAGGGGGUCAUCCCGACUUACCAAACCGAUGCAAACUCCGAAUACCUAUGAGUACUAUCCGGGAGACAGACUGCGGGUGCUAACGUCCGUAGUCAAGAGGAAAACAAUCCAGACCGCCAGCUAAGGCCCCAAAAUCAUAGUUAAGGGAAACGAUGUGGGAAGGCAUAGACAGCUAGGAGGUUGGCUUAGAAGCAGCCACCCUUUAAAGAAAGCGUAAUAGCUCACUAGUCGAGUCGGCCUGCGCGGAAGAUGUAACGGGGCUAAAACUAUGUGCCGAAGCUGCGGAUGUAUACUUUGUAUACGUGGUAGGGGAGCGUUCUGUAAGCCGAUGAAGGUGUGUUGAGAAGCAUGCUGGAGGUAUCAGAAGUGCGAAUGCUGACGUGAGUAACGACAAAACGGGUGAAAAACCCGUUCGCCGAAAGACCAAGGGUUCCAGUCCAACGUUAAUCGGGGCUGGGUGAGUCGACCCCUAAGGCGAGGCCGAAAGGCGUAGUCGAUGGGAAAAUGGUUAAUAUUCCAUUACUUCUGUGUAAUGCGAUGAGAGGACGGAGAAGGCUAAAUCAGCCUGGCGUUGGUUGUCCAGGUGAAAGGAUGUAGGCAUGUAUCUUAGGCAAAUCCGGGGUACUCUAUGCUGAGAUUGAUAGCAAGCUGUACUUGUACAGCGAAGUGGUUGAUGCCAUGCUUCCAGGAAAAGUCUCUAAGCUUCAGUUACACAGGAAUCGUACCCGAAACCGACACAGGUGGUCAGGUCGAGUAGACCAAGGCGCUUGAGAGAACUCUGCUGAAGGAACUAGGCAAAAUGGUACCGUAACUUCGGGAGAAGGUACGCUGUUGUUGGUGAUGGAACUCGCUUCCUGAGCUGACGACAGCCGCAGAAACCAGGCCGCUGCAACUGUUUAUUAAAAACAUAGCACUCUGCAAACACGAAAGUGGACGUAUAGGGUGUGAUGCCUGCCCGGUGCUGGAAGGUUAAUUGAUGGGGUUAGCGUAAGCGAAGCUCUUGAUCGAAGCCCCAGUAAACGGCGGCCGUAACUAUAACGGUCCUAAGGUAGCGAAAUUCCUUGUCGGGUAAGUUCCGACCUGCACGAAUGGCAUAAUGAUGGCGGCGCUGUCUCCAGCAGAGGCUCAGUGAAAUCGAAAUCGCUGUGAAGAUGCAGUGUACCCGCGGCUAGACGGAAAGACCCCGUGAACCUUUACUGCAGCUUGACACUGAACUUUGACCUUACUUGUGUAGGAUAGGUGGAGGCUUUGAAGCUGGAACGCUAGUUCCAGUGGAGCCGUCCUUGAAAUACCACCCUGGUAAUGUUGAGGUUCUAACUCUGUCCCGUGAUCCGGGACGAGGACCGUGUCUGGUGGGUAGUUUGACUGGGGCGGUCUCCUCCUAAAGAGUAACGGAGGAGUACGAAGGUGCGCUCAGCGUGGUCGGAAAUCACGCGUAGAGUAUAAAGGCAAAAGCGCGCUUAACUGCGAGACCCACAAGUCGAGCAGGUACGAAAGUAGGUCUUAGUGAUCCGGUGGUUCUGUAUGGAAGGGCCAUCGCUCAACGGAUAAAAGGUACUCUGGGGAUAACAGGCUGAUACCGCCCAAGAGUUCAUAUCGACGGCGGUGUUUGGCACCUCGAUGUCGGCUCAUCUCAUCCUGGGGCUGAAGCAGGUCCCAAGGGUAUGGCUGUUCGCCAUUUAAAGAGGUACGCGAGCUGGGUUUAGAACGUCGUGAGACAGUUCGGUCCCUAUCUACCGUGGGCGCUGGAAAUUUGAGAGGAUCUGCUCCUAGUACGAGAGGACCAGAGUGGACGAACCUCUGGUGUACCGGUUGUGACGCCAGUCGCAUCGCCGGGUAGCUAUGUUCGGAAGGGAUAACCGCUGAAAGCAUCUAAGCGGGAAGCCUACCUCAAGAUAAGAUUUCCCUAGGACUUUAUGUCCUCUAAAGAGCCGUUCGAGACUAGGACGUUGAUAGGUUGGAUGUGGAAGCAUAGUGAUAUGUGAAGCUGACCAAUACUAAUUGCUCGUGAGGCUUGACUAU